UAAUUUUUAAUUUCCACAAGUUCAACUCCAGCAAGUAGAAUUAGUCUUUAUUUUAUUUUUUGACUUCAAAUCAACUAUGUCUGGCUAAGUAAUCUCUCUGGGGUUUGCGAUGAAGCUAGAUUGUGAAUAAAAAUCUGCUCUAUUCAAUUUUUCUUUUCGAGCUUUUAAAUUUUUAGAAUCCUUCUCCCUUCAUCUCUCUCGCCAAGAGACUUGAUGGGCUAUCGUUGGGUCAGAAUCCAUUCAUAGUCCAUACUUGAUUCGGUGUAAGAGGGGAUGAUUGAUAGAAGGAUCAUAAUUUUCUAAAUCAUUUCUUCUCUUUCCAUGUGGAAACCUUGAUGGGUUAUAGUUGGGUCAGAAUCCCUUCAUAGCUUAUACUUGGAUAACACAAGAGAAGUGAAGAAAAGAAGGGUCUCUUAAUUAGGGUGAGAACAAAAUGUUUGAUGAAUCAUAGUUGAGUUAAAUCUCUUCAUGAUCCAUGCUUGUUCAUGUUUUACACCUUGAUCAAGAGACAUUAUAAGAGAAAUCAUAGGAAGGCUCUCUAAUUCAUUGAUCUAGUGGAUUCAAGAGCCCUAGAUCUUUUCGAUAAUUUACCUUUAUAAUUAAUUAGUUUAUUGCUUUGGUAGUUCAUAAUUCAACAAACAAUCUCUUCUCUUUUUCUC
This 659-nucleotide long non-coding RNA is filed under the name Elaeis guineensis (African oil palm). RNAcentral's name for it is "long non-coding RNA (EGUI_LNC071990)". Lineage: Eukaryota; Viridiplantae; Streptophyta; Magnoliopsida; Arecales; Arecaceae. The record is from RNAcentral.